This 1971-nucleotide ribosomal RNA is filed under the name human gut metagenome. Its description in RNAcentral is "bacterial LSU rRNA". It matches the Rfam family "Bacterial large subunit ribosomal RNA", at positions 1 to 1977 of the family's 2925-position model. The record is from RNAcentral.
GAAAGUAAGAAAGGGCGUAUGGCGGAUGCCUAGGCUCACGGAGGCGAUGAAGGACGUGAUAAGCUGCGAUAAGCUUCGGGUAGGUGCAAAUAACCCUUGAUCCGGAGAUUUCCGAAUGGGACAACCUAGCCGUCUGAAGGACGGUUACUCAAUCUUCAAGAUUGAGAGCUAACGCAGGGAACUGAAACAUCUUAGUACCUGCAGGAAGAGAAAAUAAAUGAAUGAUUCCCCCAGUAGUGGCGAGCGAACGGGGAACAGCCCAAACCGUUGACGUCGCAAGGCGCCAGCGGGGUUGUAGGACCGCGACAUUGUAUGCAAAUCGUGAACAGAACACUUUGGAAAAUGUGACCAUAGACGGUGAUAGUCCAGUAUGUGAAGCGAAAUGCAGCAUAGCGGUAUCCUGAGUAACGCGGGACACGAGGAAUCCUGCGCGAAUCUGCCGGGACCAUCCGGUAAGGCUAAAUACUCCCGUGAGACCGAUAGCGAACGAGUACUGUGAAGGAAAGGUGAAAAGAACCCCGAGCAGGGGAGUGAAAUAGUUCCUGAAACCAUACGCCUACAAGCGGUCGGAGCACAGCAAUGUGUGACGGCGUGCCUUUUGCAUAAUGAUCCUACGAGUUACCGUCACUGGCGAGGUUGAGUGUCAUGAGACACGUAGCCGCAGUGAAAGCGAGCCUGAACAGGGCGCAUAGUCAGUGGGGGUAGACGCGAAACCAAGUGAUCUACACUUGGCCAGGAUGAAGUCCCGGUAACACGGGAUGGAGGUCCGCACCAAUAAGCGUUGAAAAGCUUCUGGAUGAGCCGAGUGUAGGAGUGAAAGGCCAAUCAAACUUGGAGAUAGCUCGUACUCCCCGAAAGGCAUUUAGGUGCCGCGUCGGAUGGUCACCGUGAGAGGUAGAGCGACCGAUAGGACAAGAGGGCUUCACCGCCUAUCGAGUCCUGACGAACUCCGAAUGCUCACGGUCUGCAGUCCGGCAGUAAGGGGGCGGGUGCUAAGGUCCGUCCCCGAGAGGAGAAGAAUCCAGACCGCCGUCUAAGGUCCCGGAGUUCUGCCUGAGUUAGUCUAACGAAGUCUGGUCCCUAUGACAGCUAGGAUGUUGGCUUGGAAGCAGCCAUUCAUUCAAAGAGUGCGUAACAGCUCACUAGUCGAGGGUCCGGGCAUGGAUAAUAAUCGGGUAUAAGGCAGACACCGAAGGCGCGGGAUAGCAUUUAAGAAAGUAUCGGUAGGGGAGCAUACUCACAGCGUCGAAUGGUGUACGUAAGUUAUCCUGGAGCGGUGAGUAAAGCAAAUGUAGGAAUAAGUAACGAUAAGGAGGGUUAGAUUCCCUCCCGCUGUAAGACCAAGGUUUCCCGGGCAAUGCCAAUCAGCCCGGGGUCAGUCGGGUCCUAAGUCUAAGCCGAACGGCGAUGGCGAUGGCAGAGACGGUUAAUAUUCCGUCACUGCCGCAUGGGGCGACGUGGAGACGGAGCAGUGAAACCACCGCGGGGCGACGGAAGUCCCCGUUGAAGAGUGUAGGCGUUGAGGAUGGCAGGCAAAUCCACCAUCCGAGCUGAACUUGAUAGUAUGGAGUCUUCUUCGGAAGAAUCCAAUAGUGUGGGUAAUCAUACUCCCGAGAAAAUCCGCUAAGCUUAACCCAUGCGGCACCCGUACCGCAAACGGACACACGUGGUCGGGUAGAACAUACUAAGGCGUUGAGAGAUUCAUGGUUAAGGAACUAGGCAAAUUGACCCUGUAACUUCGGGAUAAAGGGUCCUCGUGAUGAGCGAGGCGCAGAGAAUAGGUCCAGGCAACUGUUUAACAAAAACACAGGGCUGUGCAAACUCGAAAGAUGACGUAUACAGCCUGACACCUGCCCGGUGCCGGAAGGUUAAGAGGAGAUGUCACUCGCAAGAGGAAGCAUUGAAUUGAAGCCCCGGUAAACGGCGGCCGUAACUAUAACGGUCCUAAGGUAGCGAAAUUCCUUGUCGGGU